CCUACGGGAGGCAGCAGUGAGGAAUAUUGGUCAAUGGGCGCGAGCCUGAACCAGCCAAGUAGCGUGAAGGAUGACUGCCCUACGGGUUGUAAACUUCUUUUAUAAAGGAAUAAAGUGAGGCACGUGUGCCUUUUUGUAUGUACUUUAUGAAUAAGGAUCGGCUAACUCCGUGCCAGCAGCCGCGGUAAUACGGAGGAUCCAAGCGUUAUCCGGAUUUAUUGGGUUUAAAGGGUGCGCAGGCGGGCCUUUAAGCCGGCGGUGAAAUGCUUAGAUAUCACGAAGAACUCCGAUUGCGAAGGCAGUUCACUAGACUGCAACUGACACUGAGGCUCGAAAGUGUGGGUAUCAAACAGGAUUAGAUACCCUAGUAGUC
This 373-nucleotide ribosomal RNA is filed under the name uncultured bacterium. RNAcentral's name for it is "partial 16S ribosomal RNA". It matches the Rfam family "Bacterial small subunit ribosomal RNA", at positions 338 to 795 of the family's 1533-position model. The record is from RNAcentral.